Molecule: ribosomal RNA, 305 nt
Filed under: uncultured bacterium
Lineage: Bacteria
Description: bacterial SSU rRNA
Rfam family: Bacterial small subunit ribosomal RNA
Source: RNAcentral
UACGGCCUACGGGAGGCAGCAGUGAGGAAUAUUGGUCAAUGGCCGGAAGGCUGAACCAGCCAAGCCGCGUGAAGGACGAAGGUGCCAAGCAUUGUAAACUUCUUUUGUCAAGGGACAAAAUCAGGCUCGAGAGCCUGACCGAGGAUACUUGAAGAAAAAGCAUCGGCUAACUCCGUGCCAGCAGCCGGGGUAAUACGGAGGACGCGAGCGUUAUCCGGAUUUAUUGGGUUUAAAGGGUGCGUAGGCGGGCUGUUAAGUCAGCGGUAAAAGCCCGGGGCUCAACCCCGGCGAGCCGUUGAAACUGG